AUUGAACGCUGGCGGCAGGCCUAACACAUGCAAGUCGAGCGGAUGAAGGGAGCUUGCUCCUGGAUUCAGCGGCGGACGGGUGAGUAAUGCCUAGGAAUCUGCCUGGUAGUGGGGGAUAACGUCCGGAAACGGGCGCGAAUACCGCAUACGUCCUGAGGGAGAAGGUGGGGGAUCUUCGGACCUCACGCUAUCAGAUGAGCCUAGGUCGGAUUAGCUAGUUGGUGGGGUAAAGGCCUACGAAGGCGACGAUCCGUAACUGGUCUGAGGGGAUGAUCAGUCACACUGGAACUGGGACACGGUCCAGGCUCCUACGGGAGGCAGCAGUGGGGAAUAUUAGACAAUGGGCAAAAACCUGAUCCAGCCAUGCCGCGUGUGUGAAGAAGGUGUUCGGAUUGUAAAGCACUUUAAGUUGGGAGGAAGGGCAGUAAGUUAAUACCUUGCUGUUUUGACGUUACCAACAGAAUAAGCACCGGCUAACUUCGUG
Molecule: ribosomal RNA, 484 nt
Filed under: uncultured bacterium
Lineage: Bacteria
Description: partial 16S ribosomal RNA
Rfam family: Bacterial small subunit ribosomal RNA
Source: RNAcentral